RNAcentral lists this ribosomal RNA (1486 nucleotides) under Glomus cerebriforme. RNAcentral's name for it is "bacterial SSU rRNA". It matches the Rfam family "Bacterial small subunit ribosomal RNA". The record is from RNAcentral. Lineage: Eukaryota; Fungi; Glomeromycota; Glomeromycetes; Glomerales; Glomeraceae.
AGAGUUUGAUCCUGGCUCAGGAUGAACGUUGGUAGUAUAUCUAACACAAUCGAGUCGAACGGCAGCACAGUUUUAGGUAACUAGAAUNGGUGGCGAGUGGCGAACGGGUGAGUAAUGCUUAUCUACUUGCCGAUUAGUGGGGGUAAUCCCGCAUGUGCUGGCUUUUUGUCAGGAAAGGAAGUCGUAAGACUUUCGCUAAUUGAGAGGGAUAAGUCGUAUCGCNAAGUUAGUUGGNGGGGUAAUGGCCUACCAAGACGAUGAUGCGUAGCCGGCCUGAGAGGGUGAACGGCCACAGGGGAACUGAGACAAGGUCCCCACUCCUACGGGAGUCAGAAGUGGNGAAUCUGCCGCAAUGGACGAAAGUCUGACGGAGUAAUACUACGUGAAGGAAGAAGGUCGAUAGAUUGUAAACUUCUUUUGGGACAGGUUAGGCUGUCCAGAAUAAGCCACGACUAACUAUGUGCCAGCAGUCGCGGUAAGACAUAGGUGGCAAACGUUAUCCGGAAUUAUUGGGCGUAAAGGGUGCGUAGAUGGUCGAGUAAGUUAACAGUGGGAAAUCANGGCUCAACCUUGUGGAAGUUGUUAAGACUGCCCGGCUAGAGGACCGGAGGGGUUAACGGAACCCUUAUGGAGGGGUAAAAUCCGACGAUAUAAGCGGGAACGCCAAUAACAGCGAAGGCAGUUGACUAUUCGGUUCCUGACAUUGAGGCACGAAAGCGUGGGGAGCAAAACGGAUUAGAUACCCGUGUAGUCCACGCCCUAAACGAUGAGUGCUAGAUAUUGGGCUUUUUGCUCAGUGUCGCUAGGUAACCCGGUAAGCACUCCGCCUGGGUAGUAAGCUCGCAAGAGUGAAACUCAAAGGAAUUGACGGGGACUCGCACAAGCAGUGGAGCAUGUGGUUUAAUCCGAAGCAACGCGUAGAACCUUACCAAGACUUGACAUGUAAGGUAGCAAUACUAAACUAGGGAAACCUAGUUGAAUUACACAGGUGCUGCAUGGCCGUCGUCAGUUCGUGCCGUGAGGUGUAUGGUUAAGUCCUAUAACGAACGCAACCCUUAUCCUUAGUUACCAGCGGGUAAAGCCGGGGACUCUAAGGAGACUGCAAGGCGUGCUUAGCAUGCCUGAACUGAGUAAUCAGGAGGAAGGUGAGGAUGACGUCUGGUCGUCAUGGCCCUUAUGUCUUGGGCGACACACGUGCUACAAUGGUUAGGACAAAGGGUAGCCAACCCGUGAGGGGGAGCCAAUCCCAAAAAACUAACCUCAGUUCAGAUCGAAGGCUGCAACUCGCCUUCGUGAAGUUGUGAAUUGCUAGUAAUCGUGAAUCAGCCAUGUCACGGUGAAUACGUUCUCGAGUCUUGUACACACCGCCCGUCAAGUCACGAAAGCCGGUAAUACUGCGAAACCAACCAAUCAAAUGGUUGACGAGGGUAGGAUUGGUGAUUGGGGCUAAGUCGUAACAAGGUAUCCGUAGGGGAAUCUGCGGAUG